AUGGGGAACAGAUGAUCCCUUCUUGGCCUCAAAAAAAAAGAAAAGUCGGUAUGCCUGCAGAAAAUUAAACAGAUCCUUUCCUGGCAAUUUAAAACUCAGAUGCCUCAGCCAGAGUCAGCUAGUGGUUCUUCUUUUUCUCUGUGGAGAGCUAAAAGUACACAAGUCCAACAAUUUCCAACUCCUGCACUGCGACAUGAAGCAAAAUAAGGCAUAUGGCUUUAGCCCUGGGUCUCAAGUUUAGCUGUAAUUCUCACUUUCAGACUGCUCCCACCAGCAAUUUUGGGUUCCUUUUAUCUUUUAUAGCUUUCUCAAUUGUGCUAAUAAAGUGUAAUUUUCUCACCCUGUUUCUACUUCUACCAUCUUGUAAAAUGACUUGGAGUUUCACAAAAUGGGAAUGUGGAACCACUCGUUACUUGGGUCAAGUCACUCAGCUAGUGGGUUUCUGUACUCCUUAAAGAAGAGAAGACCAUGUCCUGGUGAAGAGCUGUGAGUGAUCUCCUCUGCAAAGUGAAUCUGAAAAGUCUCUUUACCAAUCAUGAAACCCAAAUGAAGCAGCUCAGGAGAACUGAAGAUGGUUCUUGGUCAAGCAUCAGAAAGGAUUUUAAAGAGUCACCAAGAAAAGCAGUAGUUUGGCCUAAAAAAACUGGUCUCUACCUGUGGCACUACAGAGAAAGCGGUGGCAAGCAUCGCUGUAUGGGUUUUCUGUCAAGGGGAGACGCAGAGGGUUAGGUCUGUACCUCACUCUGAAGGAUCAUCACAGCGUGGUUAAAAUGGUGAUGCUCCAGGGUAGCGGACGUUCCGUAGAGUUGGGCCAGGGCAGAGCCGCUCCUGAAAGAGGACAGAAGGAUGAGCGACCAGAGCCCUCCACCUGCCAACAAUUCUCCCACACCAGUUCUUUGGAUCAGACUGCUUUUCCGGCUUUGGCAAAGGAACAUGAGCAUAUACAUUCUCAGGAAACUGGGUACUUCACUCAUCCAUGAAGUAAACUUUUCGAAAACCUAUGUGUUAGGCUAGAUCCUGUGGAUGAUGUGACAAUAAAUGAGACAGAGGCCAUUUUGCUAAGAAAUUAACAGGCUAGUAAGAAAGAUGAGAUGUGGUCAUAAGGGAAAAUAAUGCACAUAACACAAAUACCAUAGAAAGCGUUCCAGGUCCAAUCGAAGUGCUUUGGAUGAUCCGAGGACAAAAGAGAGAAUUUGUAACUCAGGAGAUCGGGGUGCACUUUAUGAACUAAACCGUAUGUAGCUUUUGAGUGUCCACAACAAGGAAUGGUUCUCUACACCAUGUAUUUGACUUUCCAGGGGAAAAGCCCGUGGGAAUAUUAAGCAGAGUCCAUUUAACCACUUUACAGAUUCACUUUCUUGUUUCUCUUAUCUACCUCCUGUCAUCAUGGCUUUCCCAAAAAGGCAGCCUACAGCUCCCACAUCUCUGCAGAUCCACAGCUUGGAUCUCAACAGAUAAAUGAGGGUAUUGAGGCACCACAUGACACUGUUAGAACAUAACAGAGGCGGAUUAGAGCUCAGGCAACCUGGAUCCCGAGUGUGUUCCCAUCCACUGUGCUAUGCAGCCACUAAGGAAGAGCAAAGAGGACAGCUCGGACUAUUUCAAGUGGUUUUGAAGAACAUGGUUUUUCGAGGAAGAACCCUUCUUGAAGAGUCUGCACACCAAAUCCCUAAUUUGUGUCAUGUCUCAACAGACCUACAGAUGACUUCAACUUGGAAGCGAUGGGAGCUUGGGGCUGAAAUGCAGCAUUUAAAGAAACAACAUUUAAUUUCUGGUUUUCUUGAUUUCUGGUGCGCAGAGUGUUGCAGGGUCACUGUCUGGGGUCUUUGUUCGGUACAGUAUUAAAAUCAAAUUUCCUUUAGCCAAAGAGCA
Long non-coding RNA from Suricata suricatta (meerkat), 1872 nucleotides. RefSeq lists it as uncharacterized. The record is from RefSeq and is a predicted model, not a curated record. NCBI's taxonomy places the organism in Eukaryota, Metazoa, Chordata, Mammalia, Carnivora, Herpestidae. The transcript has 4 exons.